CCUCUACCUGGUCAAGUAGUCAUGGCGUCCUCCCUCUACCUGGUCAAGUAGUCCUGGCGUCCUCCCUCUACCUGGUCAAGUAGUCAUGGCGUCCUCCCUCUACCUGGUCAAGUAGUCCUGGCGUCCUCCCUCUACCUGGUCAAGUAGUCCUGGCGUCCUCCCUCUACCUGGUCAAGUAGUCAUGGCGUCCUCCCUCUACCUGGUCAAGUAGUCCUGGCGUCCUCCCUCUACCUGGUCAAGUAGUCAUGGCGUCCUCCCUCUACCUGGUCAAGUGAUCCUGACUGCUACAGUUGGAAACCUCCUACUAGAUCGUCCUCCAGAGCAGUGUGCUGUGCUGCCAUAUUCACUGUGACACUAAGGGGCCUAGUUACAUGGGAGAUGGGUCCAGUGCUGGGACCAGACACUAAGGGGCCUAGUCCUAGUGGGAGAUGGGUCCAGAUACUAAGGGGCCUAGUUACAUGGGAGAUGGGUCCAGUGCUGGGACCAGACACUAAGGGGCCUAGUCCUAGUGGGAGAUGGGUCCAGAUACUAAGGGGCCUAGUUACAUGGGAGGUGGGUCCAGACACUAGACAGUAAAGGUGUAAUAUCCUGUCAACCCCCACCUGUCCUGUGUUUGAGUUCCUUCUACUCCUCUCUGGUCCAUCCAUGACCUCUGUUUGUUUGUCUGUCCGUUUGUCUUCCAUGCACCCUCACUCUCUUCCUCUCCCCUUCAUCCUCCUCCAGCCUUUUAGUCCAUCCCUCUCUUCCUGUCCCCUUCCUCCUCCAUCCCUCUCUUCCUCUCCCCUUCCUCCUCCAUCGCUCUCUUCCUCUCCCCUUCCUCCUCCAUCCCUCUCUUCCUCUCCCCUUCCUCCUCCAUCCCUCUCUUUCUGUCCCCUUCCUCCUCCAUCCCUCUCUUUCUGUCCCCUUCCUCCUCCAUCCCCCUCUUCCUCUCCCCUUCCUCCUCCAUCCCUCUCUUUCUGUCCCCUUCCUCCUCCAUCCCUCUCUUUCUGUCCCCUUCCUCCUCCAUCCCCCUCUUCCUCUCCCCUUCCUCCUCCAUCCCUCUCUUCCUCCCCCUUCCUCCUCCAUCCCCCUCUUCCUCUCCCCGUCCUCCUCCAUCCCUCUCUUCCUCUCCCCUUCCUCCUCCAUCCCUCUCUUCCUCUCCCCGUCCUCCUCCAUCCCUCUCUUCCUCUCCCCUUCCUCCUCCAUCCCUCUCUUCCUCUCCUCCAAACCCUUGGAUGUUUAGUGUUGUCAAUGGUUUAGCUUCUCUUUCAAAGCGGAAAUAGCAGAAUGUCUAUACAUUCUGACCGGCUAAGAUUUAUAUAUAAAACUGGUAUCUUGAAGCUUAUUGUAUAUAUUAGUAGUCACCAUGGGGAUGACGACACAACAAUGUAAACAAAAAGUAGAAAUAAUACGAAAAAUUGUGAUUCCUGUGUUCUCUCUCUCCAUUUGAGUAUUUUGUAUUUUUUUUUUUCAAAAAUUUGUGGAAUUAAAAUAAACGACUAAGUUACACCACAAGACUUUUGUUAUUGGUUUUAAUUUAGACGUUUCCUGUUGAUAAUGUAGUCUGGAAAAUGUUUUCUUCGUCAUUAUUGGAUACACAUUCAAUCUGGCGGCAGGCACGCUUCAACAACAGCAGCUGUCAUUUAGAGAAGCGAUUAUUUCUCUAGAGCCGACUGAAUGUUACUCUGGAGAUCAUGUGAAUCCAGACUGAAUGUUAAUCUGGAGAUAAUGUGAAUCCAGACUGAAUGUUACUCUGGAGAUAAUGUGAAUCCAGACUGAAUGUUAAUCUGGAGAUAAUGUGAAUCCAGACUGAAUGUUAAUCUGGAGAUAAUGUGAAUCCAGACUGAAUGUUAAUCUGGAGAUAAUGUGAAUCCAGACUGAAUGUUAAUCUGGAGAUAAUGUGAAUCCAGACUGAAUGUUAAUCUGGAGAUAAUGUGAAUCCAGACUGAAUGUUACUCUGGAGAUAAUGUGAAUCCAGACUGAAUGUUACUCUGGCGAUAAUGUGAAUCCAGACUGAAUGUUACUCUGGAGAUAAUGUAGCCUGGUGAAUCCAGGCUGAAUGUUACUCUGGAGAUAAUGUGAAUCCAGACUGAAUGUUACUCUGGAGCUAAUGUGAAUCCAGACUGAAUGUUACUCUGGAGAUAAUGUGAAUCCAGACUGAAUUUUACUCCAGAGAUAAUGUAACCUGUUGAAUCCAGACUGAACGUUACUCCAGAGAUAAUGUAGCUAGUUGAAUCCAGGUUGAACGUUACUCCAGCGGUGAUGUAGCCUGGUGAAUCCAGGCUGAACGUUACUCCAGAGAUAAUGUAGCUCGGUGAAUCCAGACUGAAUGUUACUCCAGAGGUAAUGUAGCCUGGUGAAUCAGGACUGAAUGUUACUCCAGAGGUAAUGUAGCCUGGUGAAUCCAGACUGAAUGUUACUCCGUAGAUAAUGUAGCCUGGUGAAUACAGACUGAAUGUUACUCCAGAGGUAAUGUAGCCUGGUGAAUCCAGACUGAAUGUUACUCCGUAGAUAAUGUAGCCUGGUGAAUACAGA
RNAcentral lists this long non-coding RNA (2514 nucleotides) under Salmo salar (Atlantic salmon). RNAcentral describes it as "lncRNA (ENSSSAG00000111778.1)". Lineage: Eukaryota; Metazoa; Chordata; Actinopteri; Salmoniformes; Salmonidae. The record is from RNAcentral.